GGGCGACUGAACAGGGAAGAGCCCAGCGCAUAACCUCGUGUCGUUGACCCGGCACGAGGGGUGUUGCGUUUCGGAGAGGCCAUCACGCCGUGCCAUACCGUCUAAGUUAAGCUUGAAAGCGACCACUACCCAUUGAGGGUGAGAGGCCCGUGAGGCGGCGCCCGCAAGGGUUGAAGAUGGCACAUUCGGGAAGGGCCGCAAUAUUAUCUCCGUAGAGUCGGGUUGCUUGAUAGUGCAGCCCAAAGCAGGUGGUAAACUCCAUCUAAGGCUAAAUAUGACCACGAGACCGAUAGCGAACAAGUACCGUGAGGGAAAGUUGAAAAGAACUUUGAAGAGAGAGUUCAAGAGUACGUGAAACCGUUAAGAGCCAAACGGAUGGAACCGCGAAGGUCGAACUGAGGGGAUUCAGCUCGUCGGCCGUCCAGCUGGGUGCGAGUCUACGUUAACUCGGAGCGACUUGAGCAACAACCUCGGGCGCGCUCGCACUCACGCUGGCGUCGGCGGGCGCAUUUCGCCUCGUAGUAGGGCGCCGCGACCCGUUGAUAAUGGGGAUGCUUAUGGCCCCGGUGGAUUGGUACCCUACCUUCGUCGACUGCCCAAUGCGGCAGCUUCGGCGCUAGGUAGGCGAAAGCACCGAUGGAGAUCCUGGCUGCCCCGCAACGGUCGUAGAGACGAGGAGCUGCUGCUGCUGCUGCUCUCGCGGCGUGCAAAAAGAUCGGUGAUCCAUCCGACCCGUCUUGAAACACGGACCAAGGAGUCUAACAUGUGUGCGAGUCAGUGGGACCCACAAAAAAGCCCAAGGGCGUAAUGAGAGUGAAGGGAUAAACAAAAUGAAACCGGCGCGCGCGUCUUUUUCCAUGGUGCGGGCGUCGGAAGUACAUACACGAGGGGCGAUCCAUCGCGUUGUUCUUCCUCUUCCCUCCUCCACCGGCAAUGCCAGGUGAGCUAUUGUCCCUGGCCUCUGCUGGGUGGGGGCUGCAGAAGGAGAGGAGGAGGAGCGCGUUGGCGCAGGCCCGGGACUUGCCAAGACGCCGCGAGGAAGGACGACCACACCGUUGGCGUCGAAGCGUGCAGUCGGCAAGUACCACGAGCAUUCAUGUUGGUACCCGAAAGAUGGUGAACUAUGCCUGGCCAGGAUGAAGCCAGAGGAAACUCUGUUGGAGGUCCGUAGCGAUUCUGACGUGCAAAUCGAUCGUCUGAGCUGGGUAUAGGGGCGAAAGACUAAUCGAAUCAUCUAGUAGCUGGUUCCCUCUGAAGUUUCCCUCAGGAUAGCUGGGACUCGAAGGAUGAAUUUCAUCCGGUAAAGCGAAUGAUUAGAGGUGUUGGGGACGAAACGUCCUCAACCUAUUCUCAAACUUUAAAUGGGUGAGAUGCCGAGCUUUCUUGAAUACUGCUGGAUGAUGGUGAUGAAGCUCCGGCGAUUAAUCUGAGUGUCUAGUGGGCCAUUUUUGGUAAGCAGAACUGGCGCUGUGGGAUGAACCAAACGUCGAGAUAAGGGGCCCAGACGAGUGCUCAUUCAGACCCCAUCGAAAGGUGUUGGUUGCUAUAGACAGCAGGACGGUGGCCAUGGAAGUCGGAAUCCGCUAAGGAGUGUGUAACAACUCACCUGCCGAAGCAACUAGCCCUUAAAAUGGUAUGGCGCUGAAGCAUUCUCCCGAUACUCGACCGCCGGGUGGGCUGUCGGCACCGACCUCGUCCCAGAGGCGAUGAUGCCUCGGAGCCCCGGUGAGUAAGAGGGUCGCAGUGGUGAGCGCUGAAGGGAUCCGGCGCGAGCCGGCCUGGAGCCGCCACUGCUGCAGAUCUUGGUGGUAGUAGCAAAUACUCGAGAGAGACUCCCUCGAAGACCGAUGUGGAGAAGGGUUCCAUGUGAACAUCAGUUGGACAUGGGUUAGUCGCUCCUAAGCCCAAGGCUAAGGCCUGAUCCCAUGCUAGCGGCAACGUUCGGCCAACCGAAGAAGAAGAAGAAGAAGCUUCUCCUGCACGAGGCGAAUAAGCAGAAGAUGACGACGGAGAAGUAGAGAAUGCUGCCGCCACUGUUUAUGAGGCUAACUAGGGAGGAUGCAGCACCGUGCGAGGCGGCGGUUGGUUUCCUCUACCACCGUCGGUUCCGUCCGUCGAGUGCAUCUCCAUCAGCUUCUCAUGCUGCACUGCGUCGUUCGUCUUCUUUUCUCUCGUGUGCUUCUCGUUGCCCGGGAUUAGCGGCGAAAGGGAAUACGGUACUUAUUCCGUAACCUGGACUCGGAUUAAAUAAAAGGCAGGCAGGCAGUCAGUCAGUCUCGUCGGUACGCCCCCAGCACGCAAGCAAGUGAGCUCCCGAAAGGGAGUUUGGCUACGGCUGCUGCUGGUGUUGCUGCUGACGAAGGAAGCUGUUGUUGUUGUUGCCCUGUGUUGAGGACCCCGGUGACGGGAACCAGCUCGCGACCAUCGGCGGUGGUCCGGGAAAGAGUUUUCUUUUCUGUUUAAGGCGCCGUGGCCCUAGAAACCAUCCGCAGGGAGAAAGGGGAUUGGUAACACGGUCAGCCGUAGAGCGCCGCGGUUCUUGCGGCGUCCCGCGUGCCACCGCCGGUCCGUGAAACCGCGAGGGAGGUAACUCUGGCUGGAUUCGUUUGUCGGGUCUCCGUGCCCGUCAAAGAGAACAAGAGCCUAAUUUCGAGCCAGUGCGUACCCAUAUCCGCAGCAGGUCUCCGAGGUAAGCAGCU
This 2699-nucleotide ribosomal RNA is filed under the name Euastacus valentulus. RNAcentral describes it as "eukaryotic LSU rRNA". It matches the Rfam family "Eukaryotic large subunit ribosomal RNA", at positions 87 to 1881 of the family's 3401-position model. Lineage: Eukaryota; Metazoa; Arthropoda; Malacostraca; Decapoda; Parastacidae. The record is from RNAcentral.